This is an RNA transcript of Entelurus aequoreus (snake pipefish), 9749 nucleotides long. It is a transcript of the gene named AT hook, DNA binding motif, containing 1, with no coding region annotated. Lineage: Eukaryota; Metazoa; Chordata; Actinopteri; Syngnathiformes; Syngnathidae. The record is from RefSeq and is a predicted model, not a curated record. The transcript has 6 exons.
UGGGCAACAAGAGGAGCAGAGGGAGGAGCGGCGAGAGAAGCGAGCGAGUGGCCCACUGCAGUAUUGAUGACCCAAUGAUCCCCUGCAGAACUCAGCCAGCCAGGCAGACAGACUGAGGCUCCACUCGCAAUCCCAGUCAACGGCGGCGAGCGAGCGGUUGUAGCGGGACGCCAACGGCCCGCAAUCUUCUUGACCAGCUGCAGAGGACAACAAAGUGCUUGCAUGGACAUUUGGACUCUAACUGGUUGAGGACAAAGGUGAAGGGCCCGAGCUCUGGACCUGGGGGUUCCUAGGUCACGCGCGCCAUGACCUGGAACCGGUGACCCUCCACACUGGCUAACGGCCUCCAUCUACAGCAAGGGCCGGGCGCCGUGUCUACUGACGGGAAGCAGCUGGCGUCGAGGCGCUGGGAAUCAUGCAAACACACAUAGACGCACAGACGCUUUCUCACGCCAAUUUGGAUUCUCGUGGACCCGCACGUUCGGUUUCCGCGAGAACUGCACGCACAUCGUCACCUCAGCCUUUGUCGUUAGCGCUUGGCAAUCAUCCCACUUCGGUGCGGACCCUCGCAGCAGAAAUGGAUACGCCCUCAAAGAUUGGUCCGGUUCCUGCCAAUCUGAACCAGAACACGGGUUCCACGCCUCUUCUGGUGGAGGCCGAGAGGAAGUAUGCGCUCCGCAGCUCCGGACGUUCCCGCUUCCCCUGUCACGUGCGCAAAUCCUCCCGCCUCCGCCGAACGCCGGAGAACGGCGAGCGGAAAUCGGAUAAGGACAAAGGAGGCGAGGAGGAGGUGAAAGCAUCGGAAGAGAAGAUCUGGAGGGUGAAGGAGGAGAAGGUGGAGGCGGUGAUUCUGAAAAAGGAACAGCCAACUGUUGAGGCUCCGCCCCUCGCCGCCGCCUCCCCUGUAGGUGCUCCUCUUGCGCUAACCGUACCGGAACCCGUCUCCAAAGCUGCGCCGAAACCAGGGCCCAGACUCGGACACAGACCCGGACCCAAAUCUAGGUCGAGGCCCGUUCCCAAGUCGGUACAGAAACCCGGCCCGAAAAGCGUCAUGAGACGGCGUCUGGCGGCAGCCAAGGCCGCCGCAGAGUGCGGCGCCGCUCUCCUCCCUCCGCCGAUGGUGGGGGCUGGCGGGCCGCACGUGAAGAAGGAGCCCGUGGAGCUGCAGAUUUUGUCUCCCAGCGGCAGGAGGUGUGGACGUUUUGUCGGAGUGAGGAGGAUCGUCGUCAAGGUGGCUCGCAUUCCCGUCAGCCUCGGCCGGCGACAGAAAACCUACAAGAUUUCCAAUUUGGAGACAAUUACGGGAGCGGAGAAGAGCAACGACGGGAACUCGGAAGGCCCAGAGGUGGUCAAGGAGCCCACCGCGCUGCUCCGCAUGAAGAACAACGGCAAAAGCGUCAUGGUCAUGUUCCCCCCCGGGGAGCUGCCGGUUAUUCUUAAACGACGGCGGGGGCGCCCACCUAAACAGGCCGUGCCCUUGAUUGCAGGAGAGACCCCCAAUGCUUGUGGGAACGGAGACCAGAUCAAGAAGCCCAGGAGGAAGCGGCGGACUAAACUACCUUGUCCUUUCCCGUCGUACGUCAACGACGCUAAUGAUGUGAAGACGGAGUAUGGGGACGUGCUGUCCAAACUGGCCUUUUUGAACCGCCAGCCCCCUACCACGGGACGAUGUUCCCCGCCUCGCUGCUGGACACCCAGCGAGCCGGAAAGCUUCCACACCCCCUCGGAAAACCCGGGACUGUCCACCCUCCUGCACCGGCUCACUGGGUUUCGGCGGCCUCGGGGCGGCAGAGGGGGCGCCGGGAGAGGUAGUGGCGGAGCAGGGGGCGCCGGGGGGAGGGAACAUAAUGACAGCACCUUCAGUGACUUCUUUGAAUCCAUUGGCAAGAAGCGCAAGCUGAGUCCCUUCUCUGAGCACGGACUACCCAGGAAGAGGGGGAAGAGGGUUGGGGGUGUCGGCAGAGGAGGCGGGGUGGUUGGAACGGAGCUUGGGGGCGAGAAAGCAGUCAGGAAGAGACGAGUCAGAAAAAACGGCACAUUCAAAGGGGAGGAGGAUGGCACGGGACAGGACUGGCCUAAUGGGUCCGGAGGCUGGGGGGAGAAAGCUUUAAGAGGAUAUCAGCUCUGUGUGUCUACAAGGGGGGGCUUUUCUUCCUGUGAGGUCGGGAGGAGGGGGGGCUACGGCCGCUCAGGUGGGGGAAGGGGUGUCGGACCAGCCGGGGAGGACUCACAAGGUCUGUUUGCCGGAUAUUUCCGAUCCCUGCUGGACUCUGACGACUCCUCGGAACUUUUGGACAUUGCACAAUCAAACGCCCGCAAAGAUUCAUCGGCCCCCGGUUACGAGCCAUCCAGCCCUGCCCCGGGUCACAGGUGGUCCCCCGCCAAAUGGGGCGCCAACGGGACAAGCUCGGCGGCAGAUGAAUCGGGACAGACACACUGCUCCUCAGCCGGGCCGCCAUACAGCUACGGGGGCCAGACCCAAACGUCCCCGACCCCAUCCACCUACCACAAAUCUACUCCUCCAUCUCUCUCGCACUCUCCCAGCUCCCCCCACCCAGCCGGCUAUGGCCACUACUCGCCCGCCUACGCCUCGUCUUCUUGCAUCGGGCCCCAAAGGUCGUCGGACUGCAGUUUUUCCUAUGUCAAGAACGUGGUUCAGGACCGUGGUCCGAUGGGUUACUCCAGCUACCACGCAGCCAGAAAGGGCUACGGCGGGAGUGCUGGAGCAGGGCCCGCGUCACCAGGGGCGGGGUUCAUGUCGGUGGCCAAGGGCAGCCCCUUCAGCUCCUCCUCCUCGCCAGAAUGUUAUAAACAGUACAACUGCAACCAGUGGAGCUACAGACAAGGCUACGGUGGCUGGGCAGCUGACAAUUUCGGGCCGCACGCUUACGGCGAAUACGGUGCCAAUGAAUCGAAGGACAUCUUGGACAUCUCAAAUUACACCCCCCAGAAGGCAAACAGACCGCCUUUCCCUGAGAGUCUUUCUGAGUCGUCCUCUGACUCCUCGCACCCCGGCUCGGCAGCCGCUGGGGGCGGUCCUCCCUCCGUGGGGGGCGUGUUCAAACAGAUGGAGACGGUCAGCGCAGACGGGGGUCAGUCUAGCCUGUCCAGCCUGGAGAAACUUAUGAUCGACUGGCACGAGAGCGCUUCGGGACCCUCGUAUAGCUGGAGCCAGAAUGUCCUCUUCCAGGGCGGCGGCACCAGCAAACCCGGCCGGGGUCGCAGGAAACGGACUGAACAAUCGGAAAAGGAAGCGGGCUCCGUUUUGCACUCCGACUCCCCAUCCAGCCCCUCUUCGACACCCACUCCUGGACCUAAGCGGGGAGGACGGGGUAGAGGAUCCAGGGGAGCGAGAGGCGGGCUGUCCGGGUGUCAGAGAGAGCGUCUUUCAGGAUCCAAAGGCAGGGGAAAGGCCGCUGCUGCAGCACUGACGGCUCCAGGUCUAGACUCUGGGCUGUUCCAGGAGGGGCUGGACUACUACAGCGGGGACAGUAGCAGCCUCUCCCCCUUGGCUACUCCCACCCAUGCACUGCCAUCCAGCUACCUCCAGGACCCCUGUGAGUACCCCUCCCCUUACUCGGCCCACCCCUCCACGCCGUCCUCUGAGGAGCGAUAUCCAGCGUUGUACCCUGGAGAGUCCUCCUCCUCGCUCUCACCCAGCGUCUCGUCUCCCCCUUACCCCCCCAAGCCCCAGUCCUACCACCUCGUCCCCUCCAGAACCUUCUCCCCCUCAUGCUCCCCUCUACCACGGGUAACGCCCCAUUGCAGCUCCGCCAUGAGUCCCUCCAAUCGCCCCCCGCCCAAAGAGGCACAUUUCUCCCAGUACGACUCCCCCAGUUACUGCGGCUCCCCCUACUGGUACGGACAAACGUCGCACAGCAGCAGCCCGAGCCCGAGUACAUCGGCCCACCCGCACACCAGCCCGCACGCGAACACUCACGGGAGUCUGCUCGCGAGCCCAAACGCACACAUGAACCCGCCUCCUCAUGACCCGCAGCAUCACAACGCCCACGGGACCCUGAGCUCCCAUGCCAAAUCUUACCCCGCUAACAAUCAGCCCCAUCAGGUUGCCGCUCACUCCCUCUCCUUGCCCUCGCUCUACGACGAGUGCAGUACCGCCGCCGCCCACAAGCAGGAGCUCACCCUGCAUGCCAUUGCCGCGGGCGCCCGGCAGGGCCUGCUGACGCCCCCGCCCUCCUAUCCGAAAGCCACCCUGGACCCUCUGACGGCGCACGAGGAGUCAGGCGGCUACUCCCUGUCCCAGCUGUCCUGCCAGGGGAUGGGGCACCGCUACCCCUCGCAGGUGUCUCAGGGAGGAGGAGGGGUGCUGUGCCAGCUUCUGGACCCGGCACACGAUGACAGCUUUAGCGUGACCAGCCUGUAACAGCAGGUGCGAUCAAUCUGAGCUUUUAACAGAUUUGCAAACAUUGUUUUUCUCGCUUUUGUACGGUUGACUUUUUUUCUUUCUUUUUUUUUGUGCCAGACUGUGGAAUGAAGGGUGAGAAUUUAGCUGCCGGCUUUGGACAGUAAAGCUUUAAUUCUCCAGCAUUGACAAUCAAGCUCAACAUGCAAACGCCAACACUGAAGCAUGCACACAAACACACACAGCAGGGCUGGGCGAUAUGGCUGAAAACCGUAUCACGAUGCAAGUGUUUUAUAUCGGUCGAUAUCGAUAAUUGUUGAUACUGUACCUUUUAUCACUUAUGGAAAAUAUGGACCAGGAGAAAAAUAUAUAGAAUAUUUAUUUCAAAUGUAACUUUUCUCUGAUUAUAAUUCCCUCAACACAAGUGUAGAAAACAAUGUAAACAAAAUGGCAAAACCAAAUUGAAAAAAAUGAAGGCGCAAAAAUAAGGAAUAUGUGAAAAAUGCUUAAUAAAGUGUAAGAAAAUAGUGCAAAGUGUGAAAAUGUAAACAUAAAGAAACCUGAGAAGAACUACUUUCUGCAGGUUUAGUGCCAGGAAGUUACAGCUGUGCUCUAAAGGGUGAGCGCCUUGCAUCAUUCACAGACCACAUUGGUCUGACUACGGUCCCUUUUUAAAAGAAAUCCAAAAAAGUGUUAUAAUGUCCAGGUGACUUUCACUCUUUUAUCCACAAUUUCUUCAUUUUUACUUUCUCUUCUCACUCCAUGCCAAGAAUCAACCGCCAGACAACUGAACUUGAUAGUUGAUACUGUCACCCGAUUGGCUGUUGGCGUGUCACUCCCACUGAUCAGUGAUCCCUUUAGGGCUGCAUGAUAUUGAGAAAAAACCUAAUAACUGUUUUUUCUGCCCAAAACUACGAUUCGAUUUGCGAUUUUUAUAUUUGAGAAAUAUAAAUGCAUAAAAUAAAAUACUUUUAGACUGUCAGUCAACACAACAAUAUGCAAUAAUCUACUUUAUAUUUGGCUUUAUGCAGACAGACUUUUGUCUACAAUGUGCUUUUAAACUGAAGAAAUAACCAAUAAAAACUAUGCAGUGAUCAUAAUGUACUGUAAUCAUAAUAUAAUAAUAUUGCAAGUAACCAUUUAAAAGGAUUUAAUGACUGUAUCAUUACUUAGAAUUGUUUACCAUUGCACUGUAAUUGGAAGGUAAAUAAUUUUGAGUUAUCCAAAAUAAACAAACAAAAUUUACUCAUUUCUGUAAACAAACAUUUAAAUUAAAUAUAAACAUAUUAAAGUGCAUUUUUUAACCAGUUGAAACAUUUUUUCUUGUUGCCAUCACGUCAUUCUCGCUCGUUUUAUCCGUGUUGAUGGGCUUAUAUUGCCCCUCUGUUUUGAAGCUGAAAUAUUCCCAAAGGGGGACAUUUGUACUUCCUGUGUGUGUGAGCUCGCCGUCCUGCGCUCUACACACCCGAGACAAAGAUUGUGGACGACUGAAAAGAGGGCUCACUGCGUUCAGUUAAUUCUACUGUUAAAUAAACGCGAUGCACAGAGUGAGACCUCGUUCUACCAGGUUGAGACUCACAAUUUAUCAAUGCCGGCAAAAUAUUUUAACUUAAUUUUCAUUCAUCGUUUGACUAAUUGAUUUAUUGACUAUCGGCCCAGGCCUAGUCACCAUCAAAAGUUUUUCCACUGAUUUUCUUUCAGAUCCGAUACCAAGUAAAAUUCAUGCUGGUAACAGCGAUACCGAUCCGAUACCAAUUCUUUGUGCAAAUAAUAACAUAUAGUAUCUUUCUAAAAACAAACUAUGUGUAAGAAUGUGAUAAUGUAAGAAAAAAGAGCAACACAAUGGACUCUAAUGAGGAAAAAGCUGUCAUUUUUUUACUACUACUAAUAAUAACACCACAAAAUGCUGCCUUUAAAUAUACCUGUAUAUAUCAGUUUUUAGUAUGUUUUUAAAACUAAAAAGACAGUCAGUUCAGACAACCCUGAUCUAAAAUAUUAGAAGCUCUCCAAAUAAAAAAUUAAAUAUAAACAGUUAAGUUUGUUAAUUAAAAAAAUAAUAAAAUAACAUAUGCAUUAAUUUGAAAAAUUACAACAAUCAUAAUAAAUACUAAAAUGUGUAACUGAACAUUAAUGUUUUCGCACAGGCAGAAUAUUUAACACACUAGGUUAUUUAGUUAGGCAAUAAUCGCGCAGCCUUAAAUCACUUCCUGCUUUGAGCGACUGCCUUUGUUCAUGCAACUAAACCUCGCUUCCAUACUUUGGCUUUCUUCCCACCAAGAAGCAAAGAAGUUGUCAAUCAUUUUAUCAAACGCAUUUUUUAUUGAUAUCAAUUAUUGAACAUUUUAUCAAAGGCAUAUUUUAUUGAUAUCAAUUAUCGAACAUUUUAUCAAACGCAUAGUUUAUUGAUAUCAAUUAUUGAACAUUUUAUCAAAGGCAUAUUGUAUUGAUAUCAAUUAUCGAACAUUUUAUCAAACGCAUAGUUUAUUGAUAUCAAUUAUUGAACAUUUUAUCAAACGCAUUUUUUAUUGAUAUUGAUUAUCAAACAUUUUAUCAAAUGCAUAUUUUAUUGAUAUCAAUGAUCAAAUAUGUUAUCAAAUGCAUAUUUUAGUGAUAUCAAUUAUCGAACAUUUUAUUAAAUGCAUUUUUAUAAUAAAUAAUAAAUGGGUUAUACUUGUAUAGCGCUUUUCUACCUUCAAGGUACUCAAAGCGCUUUGACAGUAUUUCCACAUUUACCCAUUCACACACACAUUCACACACUGAUGGCGGGAGCUGCCAUGCAAGGCGCUAACCAGCAGCCAUCAGAGGCAAAGGGUGAAGUGUCUUGCCCAAGGACACAACGGACGUGACUAGGAAGGUAGAAGGUGGGAAUCGAACCCCAGUAACCAGCAACACUCCGAUUGCUGGCACAGCCACUCUACCAACUUCGCCACGCCAUCCCCUUUCACUGAUGUCAAUUAUCGAACAUUAUAUCAAAUGCAUAUUUUAUUGAUAUCAAUUAUCAAAUAUUUUAUCAAACGCAUUUUUCAUUGAUAUCAACAAUCAAAAUUUUAUCAAACGCAUAUUUUAUUGAUAUCAAUAAUCGGAACAUUUUAUCAAACGCAUAUUUUAUUGAUAUCAAUAAUCGAACAUUUUAUCAAACACGUAUUUUACUGAUAUCGAUUAUCGAACAUUUCAUCAAACACAUUUUUUAUUGAUAUCGAUUAUUGAACAUUUUAUCAAAGGCAUAUUUUAUUGAUAUCAAUAAUCGAACAUUUUAUCAAACACAUAUUUUACUGAUAUCGAUUAUCGAACAUUUCAUCAAACACAUUUUUUAUUGAUAUCAAUUAUUGAACAUUUUAUCAAAGGCAUAUUUUAUUGAUAUCAAUUAUCGAACAUUUUAUCAAACGCAUAGUUUAUUGAUAUCAAUUAUUGAACAUUUUAUCAAACGCAUUUUUUAUUGAUAUUGAUUAUCAAACAUUUUAUCAAAUGCAUAUUUUAUUGAUAUCAAUGAUCAAAUAUGUUAUCAAAUGCAUAUUUUAGUGAUAUCAAUUAUCGAACAUUUUAUUAAAUGCAUUUUUAUAAUAAAUGAUAAAUGGGUUAUACUUGUAUAGCGCUUUUCUACCUUCAAGGUACUCAAAGCGCUUUGACAGUAUUUCCACAUUUACCCAUUCACACACACAUUCACACACUGAUGGAGGGAGCUGCCAUGCAAGGCGCUAACCAGCAGCCAUCAGAGGCAAAGGGUGAAGUGUCUUGCCCAAGGACACAACGGACGUGACUAGGAAGGUAGAAGGUGGGAAUCGAACCCCAGUAACCAGCAACACUCCGAUUGCUGGCACAGCCACUCUACCAACUUGGCCACGCCGUCCCCUUUCACUGAUGUCAAUUAUCGAACAUUAUAUCAAAUGCAUAUUUUAUUGAUAUCAAUUAUCAAAUAUUUUAUCAAACGCUUUUUCAUUGAUAUCAACAAUCAAAAUUUUAUCAAACGCAUAUUUUAUUGAUAUCAAUAAUCGAACAUUUUAUCAAACACGUAUUUUACUGAUAUCGAUUAUCGAACAUUUCAUCAAACACAUUUUUUAUUGAUAUCGAUUAUUGAACAUUUUAUGAAACGCAUAUUUUGAUAUCAACUAUCGAACAUUUUAUCGAACGCAUUUUUUAUUGAUAUUGAUUAUUGGACAUUUGAUCAAAUGCAUAUUUUAUUGAUAUCAAUUAUCGAACAUUGUAUCGAACACAUUUUUUAUUGAUAUUAUUAUUGAACAUUUUAUCAAACACAAUUUUUUAUUGAUAUUGUUUAUUGAACAUUUUAUCAAAUGAAUAUUUUAUUGAUAUCAAUGAUCGAACAUUUUAUCAAACGCAUUUUUAUUGAUUUCGAUUAUCGAACAUUUUAUCAAACACAUUUUUUAUUGAUAUCGAUUAUUGAACAUUUCAUCAAGCGCAUAUUUUGAUAUCAAUUAUCGAUCAAAUGCAUAUUUUAUUGAUAUCAAUUAUUGAACAUUUUAUCGAAUGCAUUUUUAAUUGAUAUUGAAUAUUGAACAUUUUAUCAAACACAAUUUUUAAUUGAUUUUGAUUAUUGAACAUUUUAUCGAACGCAUUUUUUAUUGGUAUUGAUUAUUGAACAUUUUUAUCAAACUCAUAUUCUAUUGAUAUCGAUUAUCGAACAUUUUAUCGAAUGCGUUUUUUAUUGAUAUGGACUACGUGUCUAUGGCGAUAUGUAUUGACAUGGUUUUAUCGCCCAGCCCUAACACACACAGAGAACCAUGCAAGGUGGACUCUUAAUGGUGGGCGUGGUGGGAAGCUGAGUCCCGUCCCCAUCUCUCUGGUCCUGUGUGGCCAUCUUGCAGUAAAAACAGUCCAGAUGCGCUUUAUUGCCGUCUUUCCCCCCCCCCCCUUUCCUGUGUCUUUUCUCUCGCCGUUGUGCUCACCUGCACGUCUCUUUUCAACGCCAUCCGCCCGCAGCCUCCUUGUGUCCGGUGAGGAUGAGGACGAGGAGAAAAAAAAAAAAAAAGUGGAGCAGUUACAAUCCCGCUCUUGAGACACCAGCAUCUGUACAUACGUGCCACUCGAAAAAGUCCUCUGUCACGGAGACGCUACGUUUGUGUUUUUUGCUCUUUGAACGCCACAAAAAGGACCUCAGAGAGCGCAGGGGAGAAUGUCGCUCGCGUGACUGCAGUAAUGCAUGUGUGUGUGCGUGUGUGUGUGUGUGCGCGUGUGCGUGCGCAUGUGGGGUCGAAAAGAGUGGAGCGCAUUCUCUUUCACUCCCUUCUUUUUUUCUGUUCUGUGGUCUCGUUGUCGUUUGGUGGUUUCUUUGUGACGCGAAGUUGAAAAAAGUUGUAUCUGUCUGUUACAUAUCAUGUAUGUAUGUAUAAAUGUAUCCAAGGUGCAAAAUAUUUAAAUACACAUUCUGUUC